RNAcentral lists this ribosomal RNA (460 nucleotides) under uncultured bacterium. RNAcentral's name for it is "partial 16S ribosomal RNA". It matches the Rfam family "Bacterial small subunit ribosomal RNA", at positions 338 to 795 of the family's 1533-position model. The record is from RNAcentral.
CCUACGGGUGGCAGCAGUGAGGAAUAUUGGUCAAUGGGCGCGAGCCUGAACCAGCCAAGUAGCGUGAAGGAUGACUGCCCUACGGGUUGUAAACUUCUUUUAUAAGGGAAUAAAGUGAGGCACGUGUGCCUUUUUGUAUGUAUUUUAUGAAUAAGGAUCGGCUAACUCCGUGCCAGAAGCCGCGGUAAUACGGAGGAUCCGAGCGUUAUCCGGAUUUAUUGGGUUUAAAGGGAGCGUAGAUGGGUUGUUAAGUCAGAGGUGAAAGUUUGAGGCUCAACCGUAAAAUUGCAAUUGAUACUGGUAGCCUUGAGAACAGUUGAGGUAGGCGGAAUGCGUGGUGUAGCGGUGAAAUGCUUAGAGAUCACGAAGAACUCCGAUUGCGAAGGCAGCCUACUAAACUGCCACUGACAUUGAGGCUCGAAAGUGUGGGUAUCAAACAGGAUUAGAUACCCCAGUAGUC